This 513-nucleotide ribosomal RNA is filed under the name uncultured bacterium. RNAcentral's name for it is "partial 16S ribosomal RNA". It matches the Rfam family "Bacterial small subunit ribosomal RNA", at positions 28 to 523 of the family's 1533-position model. The record is from RNAcentral.
GACGAACGCUGGCGGCAUGCCUAAUACAUGCAAGUCGAGCGAACAGAUGAAGUGCUUGCACUUCUGACGUUAGCGGCGAACGGGUGAGUAACACGUAAGGAACCUACCUAUAAGCGGGGGAUAACAUUCGGAAACGGGUGCUAAUACAGCAUAAUAUCUUAUUCCGCGUGGAAGAAGAUUGAAAGACGGCUCUGCUGUCACUUAUAGAUGACCUUGCGGUGCAUUAGUUAGUUGGUGGGGUAACGGCCUACCAAGACGAUGAUGCAUAGCCGACCUGAGAGGGUGAUCGGCCACAUUGGAACUGAGACACGGCCCAAACUCCUACGGGAGGCAGCAGUAGGGAAUCUUCCGCAAUGGGCGAAAGCCUGACGGAGCAAUGCCGCGUGAGUGAAGAAGGCCUUCGGGUCGUAAAACUCUGUUAUAAGAGAAGAACAAAUUGUAGAGUAACUGCUACAGUCUUGACGGUAUCUUAUCAGAAAACCACGGCUAACUACGUGCCAGCCGCCGCAGUAA